RNAcentral lists this ribosomal RNA (444 nucleotides) under Rhodococcus sp. (in: high G+C Gram-positive bacteria). RNAcentral's name for it is "bacterial SSU rRNA". It matches the Rfam family "Bacterial small subunit ribosomal RNA", at positions 56 to 519 of the family's 1533-position model. The record is from RNAcentral. Lineage: Bacteria; Bacillati; Actinomycetota; Actinomycetes; Mycobacteriales; Nocardiaceae.
UGCAAGUCGAGCGGUAAGGCUUUCGGGGGUACACGAGCGGCGAACGGGUGAGUAAUCGUUUUGAUCUGCCCUGCACUUCGGGAUAAGCCUGGGAAACUGGGUCUAAUACCGGAUAUGACCUCCUAUCGCAUGGUGGGUGGUGGAAAGAUUUAUCGGUGCAGGAUGGGCCCGCGGCCUAUCAGCUUGUUGGUGGGGUAAUGGCCUACCAAGGCGACGACGGGUAGCCGACCUGAGAGGGUGACCGGCCACACUGGGACUGAGACACGGCCCAGACUCCUACGGGAGGCAGCAGUGGGGAAUAUUGCACAAUGGGCGAAAGCCUGAUGCAGCGACGCCGCGUGAGGGAUGACGGCCUUCGGGUUGUAAACCUCUUUCAGCAGGGACGAAGCGCAAGUGACGGUACCUGCAGAAGAAGCACCGGCUAACUACGUGCCAGCAGCCGCG